UUUCCUAGUCAAAGUUGGCAGCUGCUGUAGUCAUUAUGCUGUUGUGGAUUUAUACAUGGUUUUGAUUUUUUACAGCCUGUAAUAGAAUACGUAAUUAGGAAAGUUAGUUAGGGUUUGAUUUCGGUUGACUACUAUAAAUAGUUGGCUUGUAAUAAUUCUGACUAAGACUUUCAUUAUUGCAAAGAUCGUUCAGAUAUUUUCUAAGCUUCUCUCUCUCACUUCUGGUGGUGGAGAAAAUGAUUGCAAACCAAACACGGGUCCCGAGUCCUAUGAAGGAAUCAAUAUGAAUAAAGCUGGGAAUGAAGACAACCAACAAGCCAUUGCUUUUCUGCAAAGUGAUUGCCUAAAUUACUGCCGCUUAUCUCAGCCUCUCUGCCUAACUCUAAAGUAAUAAUUGUUAACGAAAACAUGUGUAAUCCUUGCUUAAUUGUGCUUUGGGUGAGUGUCAAAUGGGAGCAUUGCAUAUAGUCAUUUCUCUUUUGGAUGGCAUCAUUGGUGUGGGUUGUUUCUGAGUAUAUUAUUAUGUAAGGAGCUUGAUUAUAGAUUGGAUGACUAAUUUAAGAAGGUUUUGAAGA
Long non-coding RNA from Rosa rugosa (rugosa rose), 575 nucleotides. RefSeq lists it as uncharacterized. The transcript is spliced from 2 exons. NCBI's taxonomy places the organism in Eukaryota, Viridiplantae, Streptophyta, Magnoliopsida, Rosales, Rosaceae. The record is from RefSeq and is a predicted model, not a curated record.